UACGUAGGGACCGAGCGUUGUCCGGAUUCAUUGGGCGUAAAGAGCUCGUAGGCGGCCACUCAAGUCGAAUGUGAAACCUCGAGGCUUAACCUCGAGCCUGCAUUCGAUACUGGGCGGCUAGAGUCUGGUAGGGGGAUCUGGAAUUCCUGGUGUAGCGGUGGAAUGCGCAGAUAUCAGGAGGAACACCGGUGGCGAAGGCGGGGAUCCUGGGCCAGUACGUGACGCUGAGGAGCGAAAGCGUGGGGAGCA
Molecule: ribosomal RNA, 249 nt
Filed under: uncultured bacterium
Lineage: Bacteria
Description: partial 16S ribosomal RNA
Rfam family: Bacterial small subunit ribosomal RNA
Source: RNAcentral